Long non-coding RNA from Dreissena polymorpha, 1034 nucleotides. RefSeq lists it as uncharacterized. The record is from RefSeq and is a predicted model, not a curated record. NCBI's taxonomy places the organism in Eukaryota, Metazoa, Mollusca, Bivalvia, Myida, Dreissenidae. The transcript has 3 exons.
AGCCGGAUUUUUUAUUUAAAUGACAGGAAAGUACCUUUCGUGUUUUUGUCAAUGCAAUACUUAAAUUACUGAAAUAUUGUUCAAAGGUCAAAAUGAAAUGUAAGUACUUUUCAAGGCAUGAGCAAACCUUGUGUUAUGUUUUGAAUGCAUGCAUAUACAUGAACAACAAUAACAUUUAAGGUCACAGUGACCUUGACCUUAGAAUGAAUGACCUUGAAAUGACCAGUGGUCAUCUAAGUGUGCUUGCAAACCUUCAUGUCAAGUUUGAAGACUCUAUGUCCAAGCAUACCAAAGUUAUAACAAUUUUAACAUUUUAACAUUUAAGGUCACAGUGACCUUGACCUUCAAAUGAAUGACAUUGAAAUGACCAGUGGUCAUCUUCUAGUACUGGCCAAUCUUUAUUUCAAGUUUGAAGACUCUAGGUACAAGCAUACCAAAGUUAUAACAUGAAAUAAGAACUUUAACAUUUUUACAUUCAAGGUCACAGUGACCUUGACCUUCAAAUGAAUGACCUUGAAAUGUCCAGUGGUUACUUACUAGUUCUGGCCAACCUUCAUGUCAAGUUUCAAGACUCUAGGUCCAAGCAUACCAAAGUUAUAACAACUUUAACAUUUUUAUAUUGAAGGUCACAGUGACCUUCACCUUCAAAUGAAUGACCUUGAAAUGACCAGUGGUCAUCUGUUAAUCCUGGCCAACCUUCAUGUCAAGUUUGAAGACUCUAGGUCCAAGCAUACCAAAGUUAUACCAUGAAAUAAGAACUUUAACAUUUUUACAUUCAAGGUCACAGUGACCUUGACCUUCAAAUGAAUGACCUUGAAAUGACCAGUGGUUACUAACUAGUUAUGGCCAACCUUCAUGUCAAGUUUCAAGACUCUAGGUCCAAGCAUACCAAAGAUAUAACAACUUUAACAUUUUUUAUAUUGAAGGUCACAGUGACCUUGACCUUCAAAUGAAUGACCUUGAAAUGACCAGUGGUCAUCUGUUAAUCCUGGCCAACCUUCAUGUCAAGUUUGAAGACUCUAGGUCCAAGCAUA